AGUCAAUAGAUACCCAGGUAGUCCAUGCCGUAAACGAUGAUUGCUAGGUGUGGGGGGUCUGACCCCUUCCGUGCCGGAGUUAAACACAAUAAGCAAUCCACCUGGGGAGUACGGCCGCAAGGUUGAAACUCAAAGGAAUUGACGGGGGCCCGCACAAGCAGUGGAGUAUGUGGUUUAAAAUUCGAAGCAACGCGAAGAACCUUACUAGGUCUUGACAUCCACCGAAUCCUGUAGAGAUACGGGAGUGCCCUUCGGGGUAACGGUGAGACAGGUGGUGCAUGGUUGUCGUCAGCUCGUGUCGUGAGAUGUUGGGUUAAGUCCCGCAACGAGCGCAACCCUUGUGAAUAGUUGCUACGAAAGAGCACUCUAUUCAGACCGCCGUUGACAAAACGGAGGAAGGUGGGGUAUGACGUCAAAUCAUCAUGCCCCUUAUGACCUGGGCUACACACGUACUACAAUGGCCGUUAACAGAGGGAUGCAAUGCCGCGAGGUGGAGCGAACCCCGUAAAAAACCGGUUCUCAGUUCAGAUUGCAGGCUGAAACU
This 544-nucleotide ribosomal RNA is filed under the name uncultured bacterium. RNAcentral's name for it is "bacterial SSU rRNA". It matches the Rfam family "Bacterial small subunit ribosomal RNA", at positions 775 to 1312 of the family's 1533-position model. The record is from RNAcentral.